UACGCACGUACGUAAAUCUAAUAAUUUUUAUUCUCCUCGAAUGUAAAAGUUAUAAAAUUGUUUAAUAGUGCACGUAGGUUCGUGAAUGUUUUACAAAUCCCAUUAACAUCAAUAAUAAAUAUCAGUUUUAGACGAAUUGCGUUUGGUGAGUGGCGCGAGAAGAGUUAGAGGCUGAAGGAGAGACUGGAGGAAAGGGUGCAAGGGGGAAGGAGAUGGGAAUGGUGGAUGAAACGUACUUUCCUGAGAAUACGAGGACUCACGAGGUUAUGGUUCGACGAACGAGUACCUACGCAGUCACUCUUUCCGCAUCCUUGAGCCCAUACGACUCACUCUCUCUCAUCGAAUUCGUUUCUAGAGAAGAGAGAGAAGUAAUGAGAGGGAGAAAUCGAGCGCUCGCUUGUAGGAUUAGAUAAAACGCCGAGUGAAAGUCUAUGGACAACGUUGAGAAUACUGCAGUGAUGUUUCGUCUCAAAAGAAAGGAACAGAAGGAAAGAAGGAAGGAAGCAAAGAAAGAAAGAAAGAAAGAAAAAAGAAAAAAAGGAAA
This is a long non-coding RNA of Vespula pensylvanica (western yellowjacket), 544 nucleotides long. RefSeq lists it as uncharacterized. The transcript has 3 exons. The record is from RefSeq and is a predicted model, not a curated record. Lineage: Eukaryota; Metazoa; Arthropoda; Insecta; Hymenoptera; Vespidae.